RNAcentral lists this long non-coding RNA (302 nucleotides) under Mytilus galloprovincialis (Mediterranean mussel). Lineage: Eukaryota; Metazoa; Mollusca; Bivalvia; Mytilida; Mytilidae. The record is from RNAcentral.
UGUAAGGGAGCUACCAUUUGAUUUUUAUGGGGGGGCUAGGAUGAAAAAUUUUGUCCUGCAUUUUUUUUUAACUGUAAUCUCUGUCCUGUCUUUUUAUUUUUCACUCUGUUCGGUCCUGCCUUUUUUUUUUUUAGUUUAUCCUGACUUUUUUUUACCUAAAUUGUCGUCCUGACUUUUUUUUUUCGUAAGUGUCUCAUCCUGCCUUUUUUUUACUCAAAACUCCUGUCCUGCCUAUUUUUUUCAAAUUUCAUCCUAGCCCCCCCCAUAAAAAUCAAAUGGUAGCUCCCUAAUUACGAAAUUUU